GCCAAUUGGAUGAACUAGCAUGCGAGUCAUUGUAGCAAUACAAGGCAGACGGCUCAGUAACGCGUAGUCAACCUAACCUAUGGACGGGAAUAACCUCGGGAAACUGAGAAUAAUGCCCGAUAGAACACUAUACCUGGAAUGGUUUGUGUUCCAAAUGAUUUAUCGCCGUAGGAUGGGACUGCGGCCUAUCAGUUUGUUGGUGAGGUAAUGGCCCACCAAGACUAUUACAGGUACGGGCUCUGAGAGGAGUAGCCCGGAGAUGGGUACUGAGACACGGACCCAGGCCCUAUGGGGCGCAGCAGGCGAGAAAACUUUGCAAUGUGCGAAAGCACGACAAGGUUAAUCCGAGUGGUUUGUGCUAAACGAACCUUUUGUCGGUCCUAGAAACACCGAUGAAUAAAGGGUGGGCAAGUUCUGGUGUCAGCCGCCGCGGUAAAACCAGCACCUCAAGUGGUCAGGAUGAUUAUUGGGCCUAAAGCAUCCGUAGCCGGCUCUGUAAGUUUUCGGUUAAAUCUGUACGCUCAACGUACAGGCUGCCGGGAAUACUGCAGAGCUAGGGAGUGGGAGAGGUAGACGGUACUCGGUAGGAAGGGGUAAAAUCCUUUGAUCUAUUGAUGACCACCUGUGGCGAAGGCGGUCUACCAGAACACGUCCGACGGUGAGGGAUGAAAGCUGGGGGAGCAAACCGGAUUAGAUACCCGGGUAGUCCCAGCUGUAAACUAUGCAAACUCAGUGAUGCAUUGGCUUGUGGCCAAUGCAGUGCUGCAGGGAAGCCGUUAAGUUUGCCGCCUGGGAAGUACGUACGCAAGUAUGAAACUUAAAGGAAUUGGCGGGGGAGCACCACAAGGGGUGAAGCCUGCGGUUCAAUUGGAGUCAACGCCGGA
Molecule: ribosomal RNA, 884 nt
Filed under: uncultured archaeon
Lineage: Archaea
Description: bacterial SSU rRNA
Rfam family: Archaeal small subunit ribosomal RNA
Source: RNAcentral